Oncorhynchus tshawytscha (Chinook salmon) is the source of this 369-nucleotide long non-coding RNA. The record is from Ensembl. Lineage: Eukaryota; Metazoa; Chordata; Actinopteri; Salmoniformes; Salmonidae.
UUUAUUUUUUAUUUUUUUAUUUCACCUUUAUUUAACCAGGUAGGCUAGUUGAGAACACCUUUAUUUAACCAGGUAGGCUAGUUGAGAACACCUUUAUUUAACCAGGUAGGCUAGUUGAGAAGACCUUUAUUUAACCAGGUAGGCUAGUUGAGAACACCUUUAUUUAACCAGGUAGGCCAGUUGAGAACACCUUUAUUUAACCAGGUAGGCUAGUUGAGAACACCUUUAUUUAACCAGGUAGGCCAGUUGAGAACACCUUUAUUUAACCAGGUAGGCCAGCUGAGAACACCUUUAUUUAACCAGGGAGGCCAGCUGAGAACACCUUUAUUUAACCAGGUAGGCCAGCUGAGAACACCUUUAUUUAACCAG